UUCCGGUUGAUCCUGCCAGAGGCUACUGCUAUCGGGGUUCGAUUAAGCCAUGCGAGUUAAAUGUUCUUCGUGAACAUAGCGAACUGCUCAGUAACACGUGGAUAACCUACCCUUAGGACCGGAAUAACCCCGGGAAACUGGGGAUAAUACCGGAUAAGCCAUAGACGCUGGAAUGCCCUAUGGUUCAAAGCUCCGGCGCCUAAGGAUGGAUCUGCGGUCUAUCAGGUUGUAGUGGGUGUAACGUACCUACUAGCCGACGACGGAUACGGGUUGUGAGAGCAAGAGCCCGGAGAUGGAUUCUGAGACACGAAUCCAGGCCCUACGGGGUGCAGCAGGCGCGAACACUUUACAAUGCGGGAAACCGCGAUAAGGGAACCCCGAGUGCCAGCAUCAAAUGUUGGCUGUCCAGAUGAUUAAAAAUCAUUUGUUAGCAAGGGCCGGGCAAGACCGGUGCCAGCCGCCGCGGUAACACCGGCGGCCCGAGUGGUAGCCGUUUUUAUUGGGUCUAAAGGGUCCGUAGCCGGCYUGAUAAGUCUUUUGGCAAAUUGGCAGCUUAACUGUCAGGCUUCUAAGGGAUACUGUCAGGCUUGGGACCGGAAAGGUAAGGGGUACUCCAGGGUAGGAGUGAAAUCUUGUAAUCCCUGGGGACCAUCUGUGGCGAAGGCGCCUUACCAGAACGGGUCCGACGGUGAGGGACGAAAGCUAGGGGAGCAAACCGGAUUAGAUACCGGGUAGUCCUACUGUACAUGCUCGCUAGGUGUCAGACACGGUGCGACCGUGUUUGGUGCCGCAGGGAAGCCGUUAAGCGAGCCACCUGGGAAGUACGGUCGCAAGGCUGAAACUUAAAGGAAUUGGCGGGGGAGCACUACAACGGGUGGAGCCUGCGGUUUAAUUGGAUUCAACGCCGGGAA
Molecule: ribosomal RNA, 911 nt
Filed under: uncultured archaeon
Lineage: Archaea
Description: bacterial SSU rRNA
Rfam family: Archaeal small subunit ribosomal RNA
Source: RNAcentral